Non-coding RNA from Phoenix dactylifera (date palm), 1405 nucleotides. The record is from RefSeq and is a predicted model, not a curated record. NCBI's taxonomy places the organism in Eukaryota, Viridiplantae, Streptophyta, Magnoliopsida, Arecales, Arecaceae.
CGAGAGAAGCCCAAUGGGCCACAUUGCAAAGGACUCAACAUGGACUUCAAGCCCCAGAAACAAGCACCCUUUUCUCUGACAGGAAUAGCUACAGGGAGCUUUCAGAAGUUGCUUGGCAAGCUAGGAGAUGCGCUGAGGCUGCAAGGAUGCUUGAAUACUUGAACCGGCAAGUAUCCUAACUCAUCAUCUCCUAGAACUCUUUGCAUCAAGAGGAUACUGAUGUGGGUUCCAAUUUAGUGUGGCUCAUUCAGGAUGCCUGAGACAUGACUUUAAUGACCCUCAUGUCUUUUAUGGAUUUAAUUCUUUUAAUUAAAAUUACUAUCAAAAUCGGAACACCUGGGGCCCCCAUUCUGCUCAGGGAAGGCCUUGUAUGGUAUUUUUCAUCUAGGAGCUCCUAUCCUUGAGUUUCCUCAAGAUCAAAUUUGAUUGUUCUAUUUUGGACAAAGGCAGGAGGGAAGGUGCUAGAUUUGUCAUCAGGGCCCGAACUCCAGGGUGGUGGCUGUCAAAUCUUCGACACGUUGGUUUUGGAACAGAGUCAAAGUUGGUUUGGGCUGGCCUGUGUCAUGCGCGACGAGUGCUACAGGCUAGCUCGAUUAUAUUGGAGGGUGACUUGGCCACCGUGAUCAGCUAGGUCAAGGGGGUCCUUGCGGUGUUGAAGGGGGAUACCUCCUGCUUCGAGACAUUUGGGCGAUGGUGAGAGAUGAAAUGGCCUUUCAGGCUAAGCAUGUGUUCAGAGAGGCCAACGGAGCGACGGACUAGGUGGUUGUAUAUGUGGCCUGCCACUCUGGAGGCACCUUGUGGGCCGGGCAGGGAGAGUUGCCUAGAACACUCUAUGACUUGUUGUUUUCUGAUUUUGUUGGAUAUAUCCAUACUCGAAAUGCUGAGGGAGCUGCACGCACUUAAGGGCCAUGUGGAAUCAAUGGCCAAGAUGAAAGGGCUUGAUAUUGACACCGCCCAACAGAACUACACAGUAUGAUGGCAUGCAAAGGAAUGCUUGACAAAGGAUAGGGAACUCUUAUGCUCUGUUAUUAGUUUUCCUCAGAUCCAAGUAGCAACAGUCAAUGGCUUCCAUAAGCUCCGCAUGAUUAUAGAUUAACAGCACUAACCUAUUGUACUUCAUGGCUGUUAUUAGGAACUAAUCAAGUAAUUUUGCAUAUUAUGUUAUGGGAACUGAAGUCCACUUGUUCUUAUGAACUCCAUGUAGUUGCGUGUGAUCUUUAAUGAAUCUUUAUUGGAACGGUUGACCUACAUGUCAAACUGAAAUAGCACGAAAAAGCCUGUUUCAUUCUUGUUGUUUUCUUUCAAGUUCAGAUUCAAUUGACUAUAUAAGAUAAGCUCAAUAUGCGGUUUUUAACUGUGUUCUCUCUCUGCUUGGCCCCUAAGAAGUAGUCAUAAGUUGAUAGCA